Molecule: non-coding RNA, 72 nt
Organism: Prototheca wickerhamii
Lineage: Eukaryota; Viridiplantae; Chlorophyta; Trebouxiophyceae; Chlorellales; Chlorellaceae
Source: the annotation of a GenBank genome assembly
UCCUUAGUAGCUCAGUGGUAGAGCGGUCGGCUGUUAACCGAUUGGUCAUAGGUUCAAUCCCUAUCUAAGGAG